This 450-nucleotide ribosomal RNA is filed under the name uncultured bacterium. RNAcentral's name for it is "bacterial SSU rRNA". It matches the Rfam family "Bacterial small subunit ribosomal RNA", at positions 354 to 796 of the family's 1533-position model. The record is from RNAcentral.
GUAGGGAAUAUUGCACAAUGGGCGAAAGCCUGAUGCAGCGACGCCGCGUGAGUGAUGAAGGCCUUCGGGUCGUAAAGCUCUGUUGUACGGGAAGAAAUGCGGAUGGCUAAUAUCCAUCCGAGUUGACGGUACCGUAUCAGAAAGGACCGGCUAACUUCGUGCCAGCAGCCGCGGUAAGACGAGGGGUCCUAGCGUUGUUCGGAAUCACUGGGCGUAAAGCGUAUGUAGGCGGGCUUUUAAGUCGGGUGUGAAAUCCCACGGCUCAACCGUGGAAUUGCAUUCGAAACUGAAAGUCUUGAGUGUGGGAGAGAUUGGUAGAAUACCUGGUGUAGUGGUGAAAUACGUAGAUAUCAGGUGGAAUACCGGUGGCGAAGGCGGCCAAUUGGCCCAACACUGACGCUGAGAUACGAAAGCGUGGGGAUCAAACAGGAUUAGAUACCCGGGUAGUCC